AUUAUUCUACUCACCUCUGGCUAGCUCUGACACUGACUGAAGCAGCUGACUCACUGCUGAGGUCCUCAGUUCCUCGGGUCUGAACCUACACAGGUGGACUCAAAUGAGGGACCAACAUACUAUAACAUGACUCUGAAAACAUCCCCCAAAAACCCUCUAAAACACCUCAAAACAUCCAUGCAAGAACAUGCAAAGGAAGGCUGGACAGGGCACUUUCGGCGGCAGGUUCGGCGGCCGAAAGUCCCUCCAGAGCCGAAAGUCAGGCAGGUUCGGCGGCACCUUCGGCGGCCGAAACUCCCAGACAGAGGCGAAACUCAUGCAUGUUCAGCGGCACUUUCAGCGGCCGAGACUCCCAGACAGAG
Molecule: long non-coding RNA, 362 nt
Filed under: Manihot esculenta (cassava)
Lineage: Eukaryota; Viridiplantae; Streptophyta; Magnoliopsida; Malpighiales; Euphorbiaceae
Description: long non-coding RNA (MESC_LNC007618)
Source: RNAcentral